Molecule: long non-coding RNA, 310 nt
Filed under: Ananas comosus (pineapple)
Lineage: Eukaryota; Viridiplantae; Streptophyta; Magnoliopsida; Poales; Bromeliaceae
Description: long non-coding RNA (ACOM_LNC044008)
Source: RNAcentral
UUUAGUUUUUCUUCUUAGUUUUAUAAAAAUUUUAUGUAGUUUUAUGUUACGUGGAGAGAGAGAGAGAGAGAGAGAGAGAGAGAGAGAGAGAGAUGUGGUGCAUUAUUUUGGUGAAAAAGGUGGGACUAGCUAGAGUUAGUUAGUUAUUGGACUAAUUGUUUUGCUACAUUGAGUAGAUCACUCUUUAGUGAAGUUUUGCAAUAGUUAAAAGUUGAAGCUUUGGUUUAAAAGAUUCAAAAUUUCAUUUCAGCUUCGAAUACGAAUAAAUUAGACAUCCAAUAUUAAUUGUUAUUCACCAAAAGUUUAUCUU